This 253-nucleotide ribosomal RNA is filed under the name uncultured bacterium. RNAcentral's name for it is "partial 16S ribosomal RNA". It matches the Rfam family "Bacterial small subunit ribosomal RNA", at positions 524 to 776 of the family's 1533-position model. The record is from RNAcentral.
UACGUAGGCAGCGAGCGUUGUUCGGAAUUACUGGGCGUAAAGAGUGUGUAGGCGGUGCUCUAAGUUCGGUGUGAAAUCUCCUGGCUCAACUGGGAGGGUGCGCCGGAAACUGGAGUGCUUGAGCGUGGGAGAGGAAAGCGGAAUUCCUGGUGUAGCGGUGAAAUGCGUAGAUAUCAGGAGGAACACCUGUGGUGUAGACGGCUCUCUAGUACGGUACUGACGCUGAGACGCGAAAGCGUGGGGAGCGAACAGG